Molecule: ribosomal RNA, 1088 nt
Filed under: bacterium endosymbiont of Donacia marginata
Lineage: Bacteria
Description: bacterial SSU rRNA
Rfam family: Bacterial small subunit ribosomal RNA
Source: RNAcentral
AAAGCCUGAUGCAGCUAUGCCGCGUGUAUGAAGAAGGCCUUAGGGUUGUAAAGUACUUUCAACAAGAAAGAAAAAAUAAAAUCUAAUACAUUUUAUCAUUGACGUUACUUGUAAAAGAAGCACCGGCUAACUCCGUGCCAGCAGCCGCGGUAAUACGGAGGGUGCGAGCGUUAAUCGGAAUUACUGGGCGUAAAGAGCACGUAGGCUGUUAAUUAAGUCAGAUGUGAAAUCCCUAAGCUUAACUUAGGAACUGCAUUUGAAACUGAUUAACUUGAGUUUCGUAGAGGGGGGUAGAAUUCCAGGUGUAGCGGUGAAAUGCGUAGAUAUCUGGAGGAAUACCAGUGGCGAAGGCGACCCCCUGGACGAAUACUGACGCUCAGGUGCGAAAGCAUGGGGAGCAAACAGGAUUAGAUACCCUGGUAGUCCAUGCUGUAAACAAUGUCGACUUGAAGGUUGUAAGCUUGACUUAUAGCUUUCGUAGCUAACGCGUUAAGUCGACCGCCUGGGGAGUACGACCGCAAGGUUAAAACUCAAAUGAAUUGACGGGGGCCCGCACAAGCGGUGGAGCAUGUGGUUUAAUUCGAUGCAACGCGAAAAACCUUACCUGGUCUUGACAUCCAUGGAAUUUAAUAGAGAUAUUUUAGUGCCUUCGGGAACCAUGAGACAGGUGCUGCAUGGCUGUCGUCAGCUCGUGUUGUGAAAUGUUGGGUUAAGUCCCGCAACGAGCGCAACCCUUAUCCUUUGUUGCCAUCAGUUCGGCUGGGAACUCAAAGGAGACUGCCGGUGAUAAACCGGAGGAAGGUGAGGACGACGUCAAGUCAUCAUGGCCCUUACGACCAGGGCUACACACGUGCUACAAUGGUAUAUACAAAGGGAAGCAUCCUCGUAAGAGUAAGCGAAUCUCACAAAAUAUAUCUUAGUUCGGAUUGGAGUCUGCAACUCGACUCUAUGAAGUCGGAAUCGCUAGUAAUCGUAGAUCAGAAUGCUACGGUGAAUACGUUCCCGGGCCUUGUACACACCGCCCGUCACACCAUGGAAGUGGGUUGUAAAAGAAGUAAGUUGCUUAACCUUUAUUUUUUUAAGGAGGG